Molecule: ribosomal RNA, 253 nt
Filed under: uncultured bacterium
Lineage: Bacteria
Description: partial 16S ribosomal RNA
Rfam family: Bacterial small subunit ribosomal RNA
Source: RNAcentral
UACGGAGGGUGCAAGCGUUAUCCGGAUUCACUGGGUUUAAAGGGUGCGUAGGCGGGUAGGUAAGUCAGCGGUGAAAUCCCCGAGCUUAACUUGGGAACUGCCGUUGAUACUAUUUAUCUUGAAUGUUGUGGAGGUUAGCGGAAUAUGUCAUGUAGCGGUGAAAUGCUUAGAUAUGACAUAGAACACCCAUUGCGAAGGCAGCUUACUACACAGUUAUUGACGCUGAGGCACGAAAGCGUGGGGAUCAAACAGG